Molecule: long non-coding RNA, 387 nt
Filed under: Daucus carota (carrot)
Lineage: Eukaryota; Viridiplantae; Streptophyta; Magnoliopsida; Apiales; Apiaceae
Description: long non-coding RNA (DCAR_LNC003732)
Source: RNAcentral
CGGUCCUCUUGAUGAGAAUUUUGUGACAAGAGGAGCCAUGCUAUCUUCGAAUGCUUCAGUGUGAAGAAUCGUGGCAAUUGGUAUUCUGGAUUUUAAAUAAAAGAAGUUGAAGGCCAAACUAUUUCCAGGUAAUCUUAUAAGCUAUUCAAUAACAUAAAAAGGAGUUGAAGUUUGAUAAUAGUUACUCUGUAGUUCUAAUGUAAUCGAAUAACUUGUCGUGAUCUUCAUGACUGAUGAAAACUGCUGGUGCAGGAAAUGAAAACGCAAUCUCAAGGUAUGAAAACGGCAUAAUUAUUCCCGCUGCUUUAGCCAGACGAGCUGUUCCUCCAUCAUUGGCAUAAUCACAAAGAACAAUUCCCCCUUCGGCUUUAUUACUAAGUGUACCCC